RNAcentral lists this ribosomal RNA (666 nucleotides) under Alexandrium tamarense. Its description in RNAcentral is "eukaryotic LSU rRNA". It matches the Rfam family "Eukaryotic large subunit ribosomal RNA", at positions 43 to 651 of the family's 3401-position model. The record is from RNAcentral. Lineage: Eukaryota; Dinophyceae; Gonyaulacales; Pyrocystaceae.
UAAGUAAGUGGUGGAAAUUAAACCAAACGGGAUAUCUUUAGUAAUUGCGAAUGAACAAGGAUAUGCUUAGCUUGACAAAUGGAGCUAUUGGCUUUGAAUUGUAUUUGUGGAAUGUAUUACCAACAGAGGUGCAGGUGCCAGCCUAUUGAAAUAAAGCGUCAAUGAGGGUGAGAAUCCUGUUUGUCAUGUGCAGCCCUUUGUGCACGGUGUAUAUUUGCUGAGUCACACUCCUUGGCAUUGGAAUGCAAAGUGGGUGGUAAGUUUCAUGUAAAGGUAAACAUGCAAUUGAGACUGUUAGCACACAAGUACCAUGAGGGAAAUAUGAAAAGGACUUUGAAAAGAGAAUUAAAUGAGUUUGUAUUUGCUGAACACAAAGUAAACAGACUUGAUUUGCUUGGUGGGAGUGUUGCACUUGCUUGACAAGAGCUUUGGGCUGUGGGUGUAAUGAUUCUUUCUUUGCAUGCCAGUUUCUAUUUGUACAUCUGAUUACCUUUGCACAUGAAUGAUAAGUCUCCUGUGGGGGGUGGAUUGCAUGUGCAUGUAAUGAUUUGUGUUUUGAUAAAUGUGUCUGGUGUAUGUGUGUGUUCCUGUGCUUGGGGAUGCUUCCUUCCUUGGACUUACAAGCCCUGACACACACAUGCUGGCAAAAUGCUUCUGCUUGACCCG